RNAcentral lists this long non-coding RNA (687 nucleotides) under Nicotiana benthamiana. Its description in RNAcentral is "long non-coding RNA (NBEN_LNC024751)". The record is from RNAcentral. Lineage: Eukaryota; Viridiplantae; Streptophyta; Magnoliopsida; Solanales; Solanaceae.
CCCUCUCUCCCUCCGCUGGUCCCCCACCAUAUAACUUACUCUCUUAGUUUUCAUUGCCGAACUAAAUGGAGAUUGCCGGAAAAAUCCCAAACAUGUGUCCGUUGCAAUUUGAAUACUUUCCAUAUAAAAAGGCCAAGAGCAAAGGCUUAAAAUGACUCUGAUUAGAGCUUGUGAAAAGAACCGGAACUGGAAAAAUCAAAUGCACUCCGAAAUAACGAAAAUGGCUAAAAAAAGCCUGUGACAGUCAACAUAUUUGAGCUUAGAGGUCGACACCAUGGUUAUUUAGCUUUCUACUUAAAUACUAAAGCCAAUACUUCUAAUACAACAAUCUUUGAGAAUUUUUUGGAUUUAGCUAUGGUUAUUUAAGGAGAAACGGGAACGAACUGUAGUGGUCACUGUUCGUGAUCGAUUCUCUCUAUGAUGUCUCGAGAAUUAGGAGGAGAUUCAGUUGUAUCGGUAGAACGGCAGCGGCAACCACUUUUAUUGGGCCAAGAUUCGUCGUUGCGACGUGGGUUCGACGGUUUGUUGUUGUUGCUCAUUUGGGCUCGUGAUGUAUAAGUUGCCUACGCGACUUUGCUGGAAGGCACUGAGGUCACAGGACGAAAUGCCGAUGUCGGCCGAAGAAGAAAGGUCUUUUGAUGUGCUGUGAAGAAACAAUGCUUUCAAAGAUUAGAGUAGCUUUUUUCU